This 896-nucleotide ribosomal RNA is filed under the name Scedosporium boydii. RNAcentral's name for it is "LSU rRNA". It matches the Rfam family "Eukaryotic large subunit ribosomal RNA", at positions 44 to 961 of the family's 3401-position model. The record is from RNAcentral. Lineage: Eukaryota; Fungi; Ascomycota; Sordariomycetes; Microascales; Microascaceae.
CAAUAAGCGGAGGAAAAGAAACCAACAGGGAUUGCCUCAGUAACGGCGAAGUGAAGCGGCAACAGCUCAAAUUUGAAAUCUGGCGGCCUCUGGGCCGUCCGAGUUGUAAUUUGAAGAGGAUGCUUUUGGCGAGGCGCCUUCCGAGUGCCCUGGAACGGGACGCCACAGAGGGUGAGAGCCCCGUAUGGUUGGACGCCGAGCCUCUGUAAAGCUCCUUCGACGAGUCGAGUAGUUUGGGAAUGCUGCUCAAAAUGGGAGGUAAACCCCUUCUAAAGCUAAAUACUGGCCAGAGACCGAUAGCGCACAAGUAGAGUGAUCGAAAGAUGAAAAGCACUUUGAAAAGAGAGUUAAACAGCACGUGAAAUUGUUGAAAGGGAAGCGCUUGCGACCAGACUUGUGCCCGUCGAAUCAGCCGCCGCUCGUCGGCGGCGCACUUCGGCGGGCUCAGGCCAGCAUCAGUUCGCUGCAGGGGGAGAAAGGCGAUGGGAAUGUGGCUCUUCGGAGUGUUAUAGCCCGCCGCGCAAUACCCCUCGGCGGACUGAGGACCGCGCAUCUGCAAGGAUGCUGGCGUAAUGGUCGUCAGCGACCCGUCUUGAAACACGGACCAAGGAGUCGUCCUAAUAUGCGAGUGUUCGGGUGUAAAACCCCUGCGCGUAAUGAAAGUGAACGGAGGUGAGAGCUUCGGCGCAUCAUCGACCGAUCCUGAUGUUCUCGGAUGGAUUUGAGUAAGAGCAUAUUGGGCCGGACCCGAAAGAAGGUGAACUAUGCCUGUAUAGGGUAAAGCCAGAGGAAACUCUGGUGGAGGCUCGCAGCGGUUCUGACGUGCAAAUCGAUUCGUCAAAUAAUGGGCAUGGGGGGCGAAAGACUAAUCGAACCUUCUAGUAGCUGGUUUCGCU